UAAUGCCGGAUGCUCCAGUUGGAUGCAUGUCCUUCUGGGAAAGAUUCUAUCGGUAUGGGAUGGGGUCGCGUCCUAUCAGCUUGAUGGCGGGGUAACGGCCCACCAUGGCUUCGACGGGUAGCCGGCCUGAGAGGGCGACCGGCCACAUUGGGACUGAGAUACGGCCCAGACUCCUACGGGAGGCAGCAGUGGGGAAUAUUGCACAAUGGGCGCAAGCCUGAUGCAGCGACGCCGCGUGCGGGAUGACGGCCUUCGGGUUGUAAACCGCUUUUGACUGGGAGCAAGCCCUUCGAGGUGAGUGUACCUUUCGAAUAAGCACCGGCUAACUGCGUGCCAGCAGCCGCGGUAAUACGUAGGGUGCAAGCGUUAUCCGGAAUUAUUGGGCGUAAAGGGCUCGUAGGCGGUUCGUCGCGUCCGGUGUGAAAGUCCAUCGCUUAACGGUGGAUCCGCGCCGGGUACGGGCGGGCUUGAGUGCGGUAGGGGAGACUGGAAUUCCCGGUGUAACGGUGGAAUG
This 514-nucleotide ribosomal RNA is filed under the name uncultured Bifidobacterium sp. RNAcentral's name for it is "bacterial SSU rRNA". It matches the Rfam family "Bacterial small subunit ribosomal RNA", at positions 164 to 688 of the family's 1533-position model. The record is from RNAcentral. Lineage: Bacteria; Bacillati; Actinomycetota; Actinomycetes; Bifidobacteriales; Bifidobacteriaceae.